AGUGAACGCUGGCGGUAGGCCUAACACAUGCAAGUCGAACGGCAGCACAGUAAGAGCUUGCUCUUACGGGUGGCGAGUGUCGGACGGGUGAGGAAUACAUCGGAAUCUACUUUUUCGUGGGUGAUAACGUAGGGAAACUUACGCUAAUACCGCAUACGACCUACGGGUGAAAGCAGGGGAUCUUCGGACCUUGCGCGAUUGAAUGAGCCGAUGUCGGAUUAGCUAGUUGGCGGGGUAAAGGCCCACAAAGGCGACGAUCCGUAGCUGGUCUGAGAGGAUGAUCAGCCACACUGGAACUGAGACACGGUCCAGACUCCUACGGGAGGCAGCAGUGGGGAAUAUUGGACAAUGGGCGAAAGCCUGAUCCAGCAAUACCGCGUGGGUGAAGAAGGACUUCGGGUUGUAAAGCCCUUUUGUUGGGAAAGAAAAGCAGCAGGUUAAUACCCCGCUGUUCUGACGGUACCCAAAGAAUAAGCACCGGCUAACUUCGUG
Molecule: ribosomal RNA, 492 nt
Filed under: uncultured bacterium
Lineage: Bacteria
Description: partial 16S ribosomal RNA
Rfam family: Bacterial small subunit ribosomal RNA
Source: RNAcentral